This 465-nucleotide ribosomal RNA is filed under the name uncultured bacterium. Its description in RNAcentral is "partial 16S ribosomal RNA". It matches the Rfam family "Bacterial small subunit ribosomal RNA", at positions 338 to 795 of the family's 1533-position model. The record is from RNAcentral.
CCUACGGGUGGCAGCAGUGGGGAAUAUUGCGCAAUGGGCGAAAGCCUGACGCAGCGACGCCGCGUGAGGGAUGAAGGUCUUCGGAUCGUAAACCUCUGUCAGCAGGGAAGAACGGUCACUGUGCUAAUCAGCAGUGAAUUGCCGGUACCUGCAAAGGAAGCACCGGCUAACUCCGUGCCAGCAGCCGCGGUAAUACGGCGGGUGCGAGCGUUAAUCGGAAUUACUGGGCGUAAAGCGCGCGUAGGCGGUAUGUCAAGGCAAGGGGGAAAUCCCCGCGCUCAACGUGGGAACUGCCUUUGAAACUGGCAAACUGGAGUGUGUGAGAGGAUAGUGGAAUGCCAGGUGUAGGAGUGAAAUCCGUAGAUAUCUGGAGGAACAUCAGUGGCGAAGGCGACUAUCUGGCACAUAACUGACGCUGAGGAGCGAAAGCGUGGGUAGCAAACAGGAUUAGAUACCCGAGUAGUC